GAUGAACACUGGCGGCGUGCCUAAUACAUGCAAGUCGAGCGAACAGACGAGGAGCUUGCUCCUCUGACGUUAGCGGCGGACGGGUGAGUAACACGUGGAUAACCUACCUAUAAGACUGGGAUAACUUCGGGAAACCGGAGCUAAUACCGGAUAAUAUAUUGAACCGCAUGGUUCAAUAGUGAAAGACGGUUUUGCUGUCACUUAUAGAUGGAUCCGCGCCGCAUUAGCUAGUUGGUAGGGUAACGGCUUACCAAGGCAACGAUGCGUAGCCGACCUGAGAGGGUGAUCGGCCACACUGGAACUGAGACACGGUCCAGACUCCUACGGGGGGCAGCAGUAGGGAAUCUUCCGCAAUGGGCGAAAGCUUGACGGAGCAACGCCGCGUGAGUGAUGAAGGUCUUCGGAUCGUAAAACUCUGUUAUUAGGGAAGAACAAAUGUGUAAGUAACUAUGCACGUCUUGACGGUACCUAAUCAGAAAGCCACGGCUAACUACGUG
RNAcentral lists this ribosomal RNA (497 nucleotides) under uncultured bacterium. RNAcentral describes it as "partial 16S ribosomal RNA". It matches the Rfam family "Bacterial small subunit ribosomal RNA", at positions 28 to 507 of the family's 1533-position model. The record is from RNAcentral.